This 720-nucleotide ribosomal RNA is filed under the name uncultured Shuttleworthella sp. RNAcentral's name for it is "bacterial SSU rRNA". It matches the Rfam family "Bacterial small subunit ribosomal RNA", at positions 62 to 779 of the family's 1533-position model. The record is from RNAcentral. Lineage: Bacteria; Bacillati; Bacillota; Clostridia; Lachnospirales; Lachnospiraceae.
UCGAACGAGAAAUGUUAUUAUGAUCUCUUCGGAGUGACGGUUUUAUUUCGAGUGGCGGACGGGUGAGUAACGCGUGAGCAACCUGCCCUAUACCGGGGGAUACCAGUUGGAAACGACUGUUAAUACCGCAUAAGCGCACGAUAAGACAUCUUGUUGUGUGAAAAACUCCGGUGGUAUAGGAUGGGCUCGCGUAUGAUUAGCCAGUUGGCGGGGUAAAGGCCCACCAAAGCGACGAUCAUUAGCCGACCUGAGAGGGCGACCGGCCACAUUGGGACUGAGACACGGCCCAAACUCCUACGGGAGGCAGCAGUGGGGAAUAUUGCACAAUGGGCGAAAGCCUGAUGCAGCGACGCCGCGUGAGUGAGGAAGUAUUUCGGUAUGUAAAGCUCUAUCAGCAGGGAAGAAAGAAAUGACGGUACCUGAGUAAGAAGCUCCGGCUAAAUACGUGCCAGCAGCCGCGGUAAUACGUAUGGAGCAAGCGUUAUCCGGAUUUACUGGGUGUAAAGGGAGCGUAGGCGGCAGAGCAAGUCUGAUGUGAAAGCCCGGGGCUCAACCCCGGUAGUGCAUUGGAAACUGUUCGGCUCGAGUGUCGGAGGGGUAAGCGGAAUUCCUGGUGUAGCGGUGAAAUGCGUAGAUAUCAGGAAGAACACCGGAGGCGAAGGCGGCUUACUGGACGAUUACUGACGCUGAGGCUCGAAAGCGUGGGGAGCGAACAGGAUU